This 253-nucleotide ribosomal RNA is filed under the name uncultured bacterium. Its description in RNAcentral is "partial 16S ribosomal RNA". It matches the Rfam family "Bacterial small subunit ribosomal RNA", at positions 524 to 776 of the family's 1533-position model. The record is from RNAcentral.
UACGUAGGGUGCAAACGUUGUUCGGAAUUACUGGGCGUAAAGAGCUCGUAGGUGGUUUGUCGCGUUGUUCGUGAAAACUCACAGCUUAACUGUGGGCGUGCGGGCGAUACGGGCAGACUAGAGUACUGCAGGGGAGACUGGAAUUCCUGGUGUAGCGGUGGAAUGCGCAGAUAUCAGGAGGAACACCGAUGGCGAAGGCAGAUCUCUGGGCCGUAACUGACGCUGAGGAGCGAAAGCAUGGGGAGCGAACAGG